This 198-nucleotide ribosomal RNA is filed under the name uncultured bacterium. RNAcentral describes it as "partial 16S ribosomal RNA". It matches the Rfam family "Bacterial small subunit ribosomal RNA", at positions 328 to 539 of the family's 1533-position model. The record is from RNAcentral.
ACGCUCGACACCUACGGGAGGCAGCAGUGGGGAAUAUUGCACAAUGGGGGAAACCCUGAUGCAGCGACGCCGCGUGAAGGAAGAAGUAUCUCGGUAUGUAAACUUCUAUCAGCAGGGAAGAAAAUGACGGUACCUGACUAAGAAGCCCCGGCUAACUACGUACCAGCAGCCGCGGUAAUCUGAGCGGGCUGGCAAGGC